UCCCUGGUGGUCUAGUGGUUCAGACUCAGGCUUUCACUGCUGUGGACCCAGGUUCGGUCCCUGGUCAGGGAA
RNAcentral lists this transfer RNA (72 nucleotides) under Bos taurus (domestic cattle). It matches the Rfam family "tRNA". From Rfam's summary of the family: Transfer RNA (tRNA) molecules are approximately 80 nucleotides in length. The record is from Rfam by way of RNAcentral. RNAcentral also lists the same sequence under 5 other names. Lineage: Eukaryota; Metazoa; Chordata; Mammalia; Artiodactyla; Bovidae.